GGGCCUAUAGCUUAGCUGGUUAGAGCGCACGCCUGAUAAGCGUGAGGUCGAUGGUUCGAGUCCAUUUAGGCCCA
This 74-nucleotide transfer RNA is filed under the name Enterococcus faecalis. RNAcentral describes it as "tRNA-Ile". It matches the Rfam family "tRNA". Rfam says of the family: Transfer RNA (tRNA) molecules are approximately 80 nucleotides in length. Their secondary structure includes four short double-helical elements and three loops (D, anti-codon, and T loops). The record is from RNAcentral. Lineage: Bacteria; Bacillati; Bacillota; Bacilli; Lactobacillales; Enterococcaceae.